GACGAACGCUGGCGGCGUGCUUAACACAUGCAAGUCGAACGGAAAGGCCCUGCUUGGGUGGGGGGCUCGAGUGGCGAACGGGUGAGUAACACGGGAGUAACCUGCCCUGGACGUGGGGGUAACGUCAGGAAACGGGGGCUAAUACCGGAUAGGAGCUCCUGCUGGAGGGGGGGGGUUGGAAAGUUUGGGCGGUUGGGGAUGGACUCGCGGCUUAUCAGCUUGUUGGUGGGGUAGUGGCUUAGCAAGGCAUUGACGGGUGGCCGGCCUGAGAGGGUGACCGGCCACAUUGGGACUGAGAUACGGCCCAGACUCCUACUGGAGGCAGCAGUGGCGACUAUUGCCCAAUGGGCGGGAGCCUGAUGCAGCAACGCCGCGUGCGGGAUGACGGCCUUCGGGUUGUAAACCGCUUUCGCCUGUGACGAAGCGUGAGUGACGGUAAUGGGUAAAGAAGCACCGGCUAACUACGUG
RNAcentral lists this ribosomal RNA (468 nucleotides) under uncultured bacterium. RNAcentral describes it as "partial 16S ribosomal RNA". It matches the Rfam family "Bacterial small subunit ribosomal RNA", at positions 28 to 507 of the family's 1533-position model. The record is from RNAcentral.